UUAUGGAUAGGGUUUCCUUCCUAGAGCUUUUAUUUCUUCACUUAAAAGAGCUGCUUCUGUAUUAGUUAGGAAAAUUUCCAUAUUCCUCUCCUUUUCUUGGAUUAUUGGUUUGGAUCUGUUUGGUCCAUCUCGCUACGUUUUAGAGAUAAGGAUAAUCAGAGGAGUUAGAGAAAAUAUCAGGACACUGUCUCCUAAAAGAAAAGAAAAAAUUGAACUACUUCUGUUGUCGGGAUAAUAUAAAGUGUAACUAUUUAGAAAGAUUAACAUCGACAACUUCAUUAGAGAAGAAGAUGGAGGAGAUGAUGCUAGAGGCCUCCAUCUUCACAUUUAUAAGAGACUAGGAGGAAAAGACACAAGCCACACUGCAUUCCAAGUAAAAAAGAUUCCUACUCAUUAACACAUAUUAAUGCUGAUGGAUAAUUAAGUAAUUUGGGAGACAGACCAUGCAUACGGGAAGCAUUUUUGGUAUUUUAUGGCCCCUUUCGCUGACCUAUGUAAUGACCGUCCUGCUGGCUAGCACAGCAACAUAAAACUUCUGUGAACAUGUCCAUUAUGAAGUCUGUGUAAAUUCUAAAUGACCCUUCCUUUAAUUUCUUACAUUAAGAUGAAAAAAAAAAAAAGAAAAAAGGCUGUUAAAACCUAUUAUUCACUCUAGUGCUAUUAAGGAGAAAAAAAUGGUAAACUUAAUUAAGUGACCAAUUUUUAAACCACCUAUAAUGUAGUAUAGAAAACAGAGCCAAUUAAUUUAUAUCUGGCAAGAACAAUUCAUGUCAAACCAAUCUUAUUUCCUUCUCUGACAGGGAAAAUGGCUGAAUGGAGAACUAGGAGUAGUAGCUGUGACAUUUUUAUGUGUGACAUUCCUAUGAUAUGCAUCAUAGGACUAUAUUAGAAUAUAUGGGUGGUGUCACCUUGAGCUGGAAUAAAAUUUACUGGGGAAAAAAAAAAAAAAAAGAUUUCAAGGAAUAGCUGUUGGUGAUUUGCUCUCAGAUUAAGAGAAUCUAUCAAGGGGAGGUAACCAGAGUCUGUCCUGGUACCAUAUUCAGUAUGUUCUUUUAUGCUUCUAACUUGCAAAUGUGCAGCUGACACCAAACUGGGAGGGAAUGGCAGCAUUCUGGAAGCUGAGCUUCAGUAAUAACAAAUGACAAGCCUUAUAAAUUCCAAGCUUUUCAGCAAGGAAUUUUCUUGAAAUUUACCUUUGAAUUGUCUCAGCUGACUCAUUAAAUUGGUAGGGAUUAAACAAUAAUUAAAAAUCAGUAGAAAUUUCUAACAGUGGAGAAAAUAGGGGACUGAAACCUGACACAUGCAUCCAGUGUAGGAAGAAUACGGUGUGCAUCUUAGAGCAAGAAAAGUCUUUGGUCUAUCAGGUUGGUUUAGGAAUCUAGACUGGGAAAUUUCAAACCGUGAUGCAGCAAGCUGUAAAAUGACAAACUUGUUUGUAAUUUAUACAGCCAUCAGUUAGCAAAUAUUUAACAGACACCUUAAUAGAAACUUUUGUCAUACAAUCUGCAGAAAUGUGAAUCUGUGGGCAGAAAAAGCAAUUGUUUAUAGGUACUCCAAUUCAGGAAAAUAUUUAAUCACUUGCAGGUACUUAAAUGCCUUCCUGAAUAGAUGCAAACUUUUUCCAUGCUGAAGUUGUUUCCUGAAUUAGGGUUUAUAAUUUAAGGUCAUUGUGAUUCCAGGACUAACUGAUGGCCAGAUAAUGUAAAAAGAAACUAUAGAUGUGGGAUUUAGGUACUUACAGAGCUUUGGAAACAAGAACCUAAAGAAGAAAUCAUUUUCUUUUUACCUUGGAAAUAUUAAAGUAUAAAGAGGAGAGCAGAAGAAACUCUCUCAUUAGAGAGAAAGAGCAGAAGCAACUAGUCUCAUUAUUGAAUAUGGUCCUCUCUGAAGGAAACUGGGCUUUUCCUGAGCUAAAAUAGUGGUCAUACCAAGCCAGUUGAGGUAAAUUCUCAGGAGACAAAUCUGCAGCCUUAAAUGCUUUCUGUAGUAUACUCAAAUCCCCACUCACUUCUCUCUGCUACUACCCUGCAGCAUUAGUUCUUGCCAAACCUAGGUCCUGCUCAUAUGCUUACAAACUUUGUGGUAUGUGGAAAGAGAACUGCUCACUGGAGUAGUAACAUACUUAAAUAUGUACCAAUUUAAAUGAAAUUACGAUCAACUGUCUGGUCUGAGAAACCUGCAGGAUAUAGCAGCUGUUUCUCCAUUUCCACGCUUUGGCCAACUCAUUGUCUUUCCCUCAGCAUAAGCUUCCUUGCAUCUCUACUAAGCUAUGCCCAAGGGUUUUUUGGGCUUCUGCACAACAGAAUAUUGGUUUCUGUGAGCAGAAUUAGUUUCUGAUAUCUGUACCACACCUGCAAGCAAGUAAAUUGAGUGGGAGAAGCUAUGAUGUCAAUGGCUGCAAAGGGUACACUGGUCUUGGGGCCAAUAAGCUGCACGGUCAGUCCAGCAUCUUUCCUGAACUUUAUAUUCACUUAAAAUUACCAGGCAAUUUUAAAAUAAAUUACUACAAAUGAAGAUAUCUUACGAAGAACAUUUAAUUUUAAGUUUGUAACUCCCACUGUUUGUUUUGGUGUAACCAAUAAAAGUUCCUGCUCUGCAAAGCCCAGUUAAAGUUUCUUCCUGUCUUUAAGUAGUUAAUCUCCACCUAUUCGAUGGUGAUUUUUCAUGAUUCAUCAUACUCUGGAGAAUUAAUUCUGCAGCACAAAAACUCAUCUUAAGUCUGUUCUGCUCAUGGCAGGGAGAACUUGAUAGAUUAGAAAGUAGUGUGAUCUACCUCAGAAACCUACCUCAGGUUCAUUCAUCCAAAUAUUCCUGUAAAUGACAGUCAUCUAGAACAUUACGUGACCCAAUGGUGUUUUUAAAAUCCUAUAGACUUUAAAAUAAAUGUUUUUAUCUUCUGCAGACACACAGAUAUUAACAUACACAAUGCUUAUGGACACCGGAUAAAAUCAUUAUUUUUAGAAUUUCCUUACUUCAUAAAGCAGUACAAUAGCUGUGAUGCCACAAAUAACUCAGUAUGAACUCUUCUUAUAAGCAAACAGAGGAAGUAUCAGUUUAGGAAGAGACAAGGAGUUCAAAAUAGACAACAUAUUAGAAUGAUAGUUUUAGUACUCUUGAAUGUAUUAGCUUUACUUCAGAUCAGUAAAAAUACAAACAUUUAAUUCAGCAGAUCAUUUGAAACUUGGGCAGAAUCAUCUGCCUAGCAAUAAAAAACCACCCAAGUUUUAACUAACCAAGUUUUAUCUGAGAUAAAAAGCAACAAAACCAGCGUACCACUACGUUUGUGACUGACUUCCUUAGUUUUGGAAACAUUUAUUUAUGCUAUCAAAAACUGGUUUCUAGUUAGAUGAUGUAUUUUUUGUUUCAGAGUCUCAAUGUAUUAUAAUGUGGUUUUAAUGAAAGUGUUUUAACUUCCCCCUUCUUGAGUAUUCCAGAUUCUGCUGUAACUUCAUCACUUUUUCACUGACAGAAUUUAAAUCAGCUGGCCAGAGGUUGGCCUUGUGUAUUUUUCUCCAAUUCAUGUGACAAGUUGAAAAGCUUUAGUAGUAAAUGGAGCAUCAGCCAGCUGAUUACAGCUGGUUUUGUAUGUGUAACUUAACCAGCAGGAAAUUACUAAAUUUAUUCUUGUCAGUAAAGGUGAAAAAGCAAGUGUUUUGGAAACAUACUGAAAGACUGUUAAGAAUUGCUUUUGAGGUUUUCUCGAAGUAUAAAUGUGUUGAGCCCUAUUGCCCUGUGUUUGAGGAGUAACUUCAGCUCUCCAUAGAUCAGUAGCCAUAUUUUGGCCUACCUUCUACUGAAUGUGCUGGGUUCACUUUCAUAUUUCUACCUUGCUAAGUAGCUCCUAAUUUCCCUCUGCCUGUAUUUUAGAAGAUGUAUUUGAGGAUUCAUUAAGCUACAAGCAGUGAUUCUCAAGUUAAAUUGUGUGUACAUACUGUGAUUCUAUAGCCUUUUUUUUUGAUGGACUCAAACUUACCUAUAGUGCUGCAGUUCAGAUUCUAGCUGCUGAAUGUAUACUUGCAAAUGUGGCACUUCAUUAGCUUUCACUUCUAGCUCCUUCACUUUGCCAAGGCUGUUCCGGACUGCCUGUCUCGCCUCUUCCACCUUUUUCCUCAUUUCUGCUUGUUCCCUCUUCAGGUUACGGUUGCAGUCUUCCAGACUGACUAGUGCUUCCUGAGAGCUCUUCAGCUCUCGUUCUAGUUCUUGAUUGAAUCUAAUUGCUUCUUCGAUUUGCCCAUCCCUGGAGCUCCGGAUGAGUUCUACUUCUUUCAGGACACUUUGAAGGCACUUGGUCUGGGAGUGGUUCUGCGUUAACAGUCUCUUACUCCCUAUAAAACAGGUUCCCUCUUCCUUAUGGUUAGCGUGGCUUUUCCGCAGUCCUACCUGCAGCGCCAGGCAGCGCGCGUCGCUGCUCUGCAGGGCGGCCCGCAUGUCCUCCACCAGCUCCCGCAGGCUGCCGUUCUCCUCCUCCAGCUUGGCGAUGCGGUCCUCGGCCCGCUCCAGCGCCACG
Molecule: long non-coding RNA, 4507 nt
Filed under: Gallus gallus (chicken)
Lineage: Eukaryota; Metazoa; Chordata; Aves; Galliformes; Phasianidae
Source: RNAcentral